This is a long non-coding RNA of Daphnia pulex (common water flea), 950 nucleotides long. RefSeq lists it as uncharacterized. Lineage: Eukaryota; Metazoa; Arthropoda; Branchiopoda; Diplostraca; Daphniidae. The record is from RefSeq and is a predicted model, not a curated record. The transcript is spliced from 4 exons.
ACUAUUUUCAUGUCCGACAGUAGAACUCCAUUGAAUUUUAAAUGUCUCAAAUGUCCGACAAUCCAUCCAUCCAUGAUUCCUUUCUUUCCGUACAGUCAAACGUGGUAAUCGUGGAGGAAUCUUUUGGCUCCGUCAGUAGGUGGCUAAAAUCAAGUUGUCCCACAGCCGCCAGAUGACGCGAGUCUCUUUGAGAGGAAGACGAAAUUUUCGCCAUUUUGUUCCCAAACGCCAAGUGGAAAGGUAUUCCAAAUUCGUUACGGAAUUGCGUUGUCAAUCUACAUUUUCUGAUUUUCAGCAUUGAAAUUGAAUGUCAAUCUAGCAUAUGAUUUCCACUUAUAAUCGAUCACGUGGACUGAAACUGCUUUAGUGCUUUCCAUUUUGCCGAAAUGUCGUCCGUUGUUAGCUGUACCUGUUCGGAUGUAGUCUCAUCUCAGGCAGAAACACUGCAGAGUUGGUGUUCAGGUUGGAGAUCCCGUUGCUUAACUGUUGCAGAAUGUGAGCAAUCAACAAAUUCUGAGCUCCAUGGCUGGCAUCGUGGCCACAGUGGUUUUGUUGCAGCCAGCUGGUGAAAGGCGUGAUCAAGUCAAGUUGAGCUGCUGCUGCUGCUGCAUGCAGUUUAUCGAGCUGGUGUUAUCCUGAAGUGUCAUUGCAGGAACUUUUUGAAAUGGACUUGGUGAUACUUAAACUAUGCCUGUGCUGUUCAAUGUACCGUGGUUUUGCAGCCUGCUUCCAGUUGAGAGAUGUUAUUAUGCAGCUGAUACCGGAUUGAAGAAAAAGAACUGAAGUAGCUGUGCUGGUGUUCUCCUGAAAUUGCUGUGCCACAGGAGUUGCAGAUAGUGUUUGGUUCCUCAUAGAAGUUUAUUUAAAGAGUCUGGAGAUGAUCAGCCACUUCUGCCUAUAACUUAUGUAAAACUUCAAAGUUGUAAGAAAUAUACAAGUCAAGUGCUAAA